This is a long non-coding RNA of Folsomia candida, 152 nucleotides long. It matches the Rfam family "Sphinx conserved region 2". The record is from Rfam. NCBI's taxonomy places the organism in Eukaryota, Metazoa, Arthropoda, Collembola, Entomobryomorpha, Isotomidae.
AUUGGAUAAUAUUAAAACGCAGCUUGGUGGCGGUGGAACCACAAAUACACGUUCCCACUGAAAGCUGGAAUUACUGGUCAUGCUCAACUGACCGUUGGCUUGAUGGCGUUCUUCUAUUUCAUUAAUUACACGAAAUACCGUAAGAGUCUUAA